ACUCAAAUGAAUUGACGGGGGCCCGCACAAGCAGUGGAGCAUGUGGUUUAAUUCGAUGCAACGCGAAGAACCUUACCCAGGCUCGAAAUGUAAUAGACGUAACCAGAGAUGGUUAUUUCCGCAAGGACUGUUAUAUAGGUGCUGCAUGGCUGUCGUCAGCUCGUGCCGUGAGGUGUUUGGUUAAGUCCAGCAACGAGCGCAACCCUUAUCAUUAGUUGCCAACGCGUCAAGGCGGGGACUCUAGUGAGACUGCCUGGGUUAACCAGGAGGAAGGUGAGGAUGACGUCAAGUCCGCAUGGCCUUUAUGUCUGGGGCUACACACGUGCUACAAUGGUCGGUACAGAAGGCAGCAAGACCGCAAGGUGGAGCAAAUCCGUAAAGCCGAUCUCAGUUCAGAUUGUAGUCUGCAACUCGACUACAUGAAGUUGGAAUUGCUAGUAAUGACGUGUCAGCAACAACGUCGUGAAUACGUUCCCGGGCCUUGCACACACCGCCCGU
This 498-nucleotide ribosomal RNA is filed under the name uncultured bacterium. Its description in RNAcentral is "partial 16S ribosomal RNA". It matches the Rfam family "Bacterial small subunit ribosomal RNA", at positions 899 to 1397 of the family's 1533-position model. The record is from RNAcentral.